UACGUAGGUCCCGAGCGUUGUCCGGAUUUAUUGGGGGUAAAGCGAGCGCAGGUGGUUUAUUAAGUCUGGUGUAAAAGGCAGUGGCUCAACCAUUGUAUGCAUUGGAAACUGGUAGACUUGAGUGCAGGAGAGGAGAGUGGAAUUCCAUGUGUAGCGGUGAAAUGCGUAGAUAUAUGGAGGAACACCGGUGGCGAAAGCGGCUCUCUGGCCUGUAACUGACACUGAGGCUCGAAAGCGUGGGGAGCAAACAGG
RNAcentral lists this ribosomal RNA (252 nucleotides) under uncultured bacterium. Its description in RNAcentral is "partial 16S ribosomal RNA". It matches the Rfam family "Bacterial small subunit ribosomal RNA", at positions 524 to 776 of the family's 1533-position model. The record is from RNAcentral. RNAcentral also lists the same sequence under 1 other name.